AAUAUUGUGCACUGGGCGGAAGCCUGACCCAGCCACGCCGCGCGAGUGAUGAAGGCCUUCGGGUUGUAAAGCCCUGUGGGGACGGAAGAAAAAUCCGGGUUCGGAUAUUGCCUGGACUUGACGGUACCUCCUUAUCAAGCACCGGCUAACUCUGUGCCAGCGGCCGCGGUAAGACAGAGGGUGCAAACGUUGCUCGGAAUUACUGGGCGUAAAGGGCGCGUAGGCGGAUUUGGAAGUGGGGUGUGAAAUCCCUGGGCUCAACCUAGGAACUGCAUUCGAAACUCCAAGUCUAGAGUGACGGAGAGGAAAGCGGAAUUCCCGGUGUAGAGGUGAAAUUCGUAGAUAUCGGGAGGAACACCAGAGGCGAAGGCGGCUUUCUGGACGUCCACUGACGCUGAGGCGCGAAAGCGUGGGGAGCAAAC
Molecule: ribosomal RNA, 422 nt
Filed under: uncultured bacterium
Lineage: Bacteria
Description: partial 16S ribosomal RNA
Rfam family: Bacterial small subunit ribosomal RNA
Source: RNAcentral